RNAcentral lists this ribosomal RNA (1343 nucleotides) under uncultured bacterium. RNAcentral's name for it is "16S ribosomal RNA". It matches the Rfam family "Bacterial small subunit ribosomal RNA", at positions 28 to 1378 of the family's 1533-position model. The record is from RNAcentral.
GACGAACGCUGGCGGCGUGCUUAACACAUGCAAGUCGAACGGAAAGGCCCUGCUUUUGUGGGGUGCUCGAGUGGCGAACGGGUGAGUAACACGUGAGUAACCUGCCCUUGACUUUGGGAUAACUUCAGGAAACUGGGGCUAAUACCGGAUAGGAGCUCCUGCUGCAUGGUGGGGGUUGGAAAGUUUCGGCGGUUGGGGAUGGACUCGCGGCUUAUCAGCUUGUUGGUGGGGUAGUGGCUUACCAAGGCUUUGACGGGUAGCCGGCCUGAGAGGGUGACCGGCCACAUUGGGACUGAGAUACGGCCCAGACUCCUACGGGAGGCAGCAGUGGGGAAUAUUGCACAAUGGGCGGAAGCCUGAUGCAGCAACGCCGCGUGCGGGAUGACGGCCUUCGGGUUGUAAACCGCUUUCGCCUGUGACGAAGCGUGAGUGACGGUAAUGGGUAAAGAAGCACCGGCUAACUACGUGCCAGCAGCCGCGGUGAUACGUAGGGUGCGAGCGUUGUCCGGAUUUAUUGGGCGUAAAGGGCUCGUAGGUGGUUGAUCGCGUCGGAAGUGUAAUCUUGGGGCUUAACCCUGAGCGUGCUUUCGAUACGGGUUGACUUGAGGAAGGUAGGGGAGAAUGGAGUUCCUGGUGGAGCGGUGGAAUGCGCAGAUAUCAGGAGGAACACCAGUGGCGAAGGCGGUUCUCUGGGCCUUUCCUGACGCCGAGGAGCGAAAGCGUGGGGAGCGAACAGGCUUAGAUACCCUGGUAGUCCACGCUGUAAACGGUGGGUACUAGGUGUGGGGUCCAUUCCACGGGUUCCGUGCCGUAGCUAACGCUUUAAGUACCCCGCCUGGGGAGUACGGCCGCAAGGCUAAAACUCAAAGGAAUUGACGGGGCCCCGCACAAGCGGCGGAGCAUGCGGAUUAAUUCGAUGCAACGCGUAGAACCUUACCUGGGUUUGACAUGGAUCGGGAGUGCUCAGAGAUGGGUGUGCCUCUUUUGGGGUCGGUUCACAGGUGGUGCAUGGCUGUCGUCAGCUCGUGUCGUGAGAUGUUGGGUUAAGUCCCGCAACGAGCGCAACCCUUGUUCACUGUUGCCAGCACGUUAUGGUGGGGACUCAGUGGAGACCGCCGGGGUCAACUCGGAGGAAGGUGGGGAUGACGUCAAGUCAUCAUGCCCCUUAUGUCCAGGGCUUCACGCAUGCUACAGUGGCUGGUACAGAGAGUGGCGAGCCUGUGAGGGUGAGCGAAUCUCGGAAAGUCGGUCUCAGUUCGGAUUGGGGUCUGCAACUCGACCUCAUGAAGUCGGAGUCGCUAGUAAUCGCAGAUCAGCAACGCUGCGGUGAAUACGUUCCCGGG